CUGUUUGACAAAAGAAAGUCAGUUACUUCCAGAAUGAAUGAGUGUUAUAAACACCAUUGAUACCUAGUUUCUUUAAAGAGGUAAAAAUCUUUACCAACUAUAUCUUUAUAAAUUGUUUUUAAGAAGAGAGCCAAGGACUCAAGGCUAGCUAGGCUCAUCACCAAAAAAAAGUUAUAGCUAAAAACCAAAUUUCGUAGAAAAACGUGGUAAAAAAGGCAAUUCUGGAAGCUGCAUUAUUUGGUCUUCCUGAUUAGUAUAUUUAUAUAUUAAAAAGAAUGGUCCUCCCCUCUCACCUAAGGAGACAGACAGAACCAUUUGUUUUCUUUAGGCACCAUUCUUCACAAUAUAAAAAAGCUAACCAGUAAACAAUACAAGAAAAUAAAUUAUUUUUGGACAACCACAAAAUCCUACGGAGAUCUGGCAUUGUUAAAGCUCAAAGUGUUAAACUAUGGAUCCAUAUCAGAAUCCCAGCCCGAAAGGGUACCAGAGACAGAGGCCAUUUGGCUCAGCCGGUGAAGGUGGCAGCAGCGGCGGCUCCGAUAUACCCCGUGAAAUAGAUGACAAUAAGAAGAAAAAGAAGCUUCUCCACCGCGACAUCGAACGCCAGAGAAGACAAGAGAUGGCUACACUCUUUGCUUCGCUUCGUUCUCACCUACCUCUCCAAUACGUUAAGGGGAAGAGAGCUGUUUCGGAUCAUGUAAACGGAGCGGUGAAUUUCAUUAAGGACACGGAAACACGGAUUAAAGAACUUAGUGCAAGACGAGACGAACUAAGCAGAGAAACAUGUCAGACAUAUAAAUCGAGUCCGGAUCCAGCAAGAACUGGAUCCGAGUUAGGCAAAUCGUAUCCGGCGAGUGUGAUGGUGCAACCAUGCGUGAGCGGUUUCGAAGUGGCGGUGAGCAGCAACUCGUCAGGUCCCGAAGCUUUGCCACUCUCAAGAGUGCUUGAGACACUUCAGGAACUAGGACUUGAAGUCAUCAGCUGUCUCACCACAAGAGUUAAUGAGAGGCUCAUGCACACUAUUCAAGUCGAGGUUAAUAGUUUUGGAUGCUUGGAUUUAGCUUGGUUGCAGCAGAAGCUAGUUGAGGAGUUGAUACUUUAGACGGGGUACUACAAUACUUAAUAAUCAUAAAAUUUGUAGUCCUAAAGACUUGUUCAUCGUAUGAUCUCUCUCUUCCAAAAGAACUCUUAAUUUUAUAUGUUGGUUUGAAUUUUUAACCCAAUAUAAACUCAUUUCCAAUUUAUUUUCUUUAUAUAGAUUUGGUAUUGAAGCUUGUUAGUUGCUCCAAUAGAAAUAUCUAAAGCAUUCAUGAAACUUCAUCUUGGAAAGCUGGCCAUGAAAUAUACUCUUGGAUGGAGGCAUAGCUUCGGUUUAAACAAAUUCAAGUGCGUAUUGCAGUUUUUUUUUUAAUAAGUGCGUAUUGCAGUUAUGUUUCAAAAGGAUUUUAUGCAUGGGUAGGUCAUAAAGUUCACCAUCAUUCAACGCAGACACCGUAAAGACUGAGGUUGUGAUGUUUGCAAUAGAUCAUUUUUCUCACAAUAAGGUUUUGUGUGUUUGCUUUACAUUUGCUUCUUAUCAGCUCCAAAUUUCAGCUAUCAGGUUUCCCUUUCAUUAUUAGCAUCUUUUGUGCUAUUUCAUUGUUAUGUGUUCAUGCGGGUUUUUAGUAUGUAUAUAAGGUUUUAUAUGAUAUAUAUAAACUGAGAAGGAACAACCGCUA
RNA transcript from Brassica napus (rape), 1718 nucleotides. It is a transcript of the gene named transcription factor bHLH126, with no coding region annotated. The transcript has 4 exons. The record is from RefSeq and is a predicted model, not a curated record. NCBI's taxonomy places the organism in Eukaryota, Viridiplantae, Streptophyta, Magnoliopsida, Brassicales, Brassicaceae.